This 207-nucleotide ribosomal RNA is filed under the name uncultured Eubacteriales bacterium. Its description in RNAcentral is "uncultured Clostridiales bacterium partial 16S ribosomal RNA". It matches the Rfam family "Bacterial small subunit ribosomal RNA", at positions 568 to 775 of the family's 1533-position model. Lineage: Bacteria; Bacillati; Bacillota; Clostridia; Eubacteriales. The record is from RNAcentral.
UGCGUAGGUGGUCUUGUAAGCGUGGGGUGAAAGGCAGUGGCUUAACCAUUGUUAGCCUUGCGAACUGUGAGACUUGAGUGCAGGAGAGGAAAGUGGAAUUCCUAGUGUAGCGGUGAAAUGCGUAGAUAUUAGGAGGAACACCAGUGGCGAAGGCGACUUUCUGGACUGUAACUGACACUGAGGCACGAAAGCGUGGGGAGCAAACAG